Molecule: non-coding RNA, 45 nt
Organism: Schistosoma curassoni
Lineage: Eukaryota; Metazoa; Platyhelminthes; Trematoda; Strigeidida; Schistosomatidae
Source: Rfam
AUCAAACUGACGAGUCCCAAAUAAAACAAAAGACGUGUCUUUGAU